This 445-nucleotide ribosomal RNA is filed under the name Corynebacterium amycolatum. RNAcentral's name for it is "bacterial SSU rRNA". It matches the Rfam family "Bacterial small subunit ribosomal RNA", at positions 353 to 790 of the family's 1533-position model. Lineage: Bacteria; Bacillati; Actinomycetota; Actinomycetes; Mycobacteriales; Corynebacteriaceae. The record is from RNAcentral.
AGUAGGGAAUCUUCCACAAUGGACGAAAGUCUGAUGGAGCAACGCCGCGUGAGUGAAGAAGGAUUUCGGUUCGUAAAACUCUGUUGUAAGGGAAGAACAAGUACAGUAGUAACUGGCUGUACCUUGACGGUACCUUGUUAGAAAGCCACGGCUAACUACGUGCCAGCAGCCGCGGUAAUACGUAGGUGGCAAGCGUUGUCCGGAAUUAUUGGGCGUAAAGCGCGCGCAGGCGGUUUCUUAAGUCUGAUGUGAAAGCCCACGGCUCAACCGUGGAGGGUCAUUGGAAACUGGGGAACUUGAGUGCAGAAGAGGAAAGUGGAAUUCCAAGUGUAGCGGUGAAAUGCGUAGAGAUUUGGAGGAACACCAGUGGCGAAGGCGACUAUCUGGUCUGUAACUGACGCUGAGGCGCGAAAGCGUGGGGAGCAAACAGGAUUAGAUACCCGGG